GUCUAGGGCCAUACCACCCUGAACGCACCUGAUUUUGUCUGCUCUCGGAAGCUAACCAGGGUCGGGCCUCGUUAGUACUUGGAUGGGACAAUCUCACCCUGGGAUGGGACAGCCUAGAUC
Molecule: ribosomal RNA, 120 nt
Filed under: Octodon degus (degu)
Lineage: Eukaryota; Metazoa; Chordata; Mammalia; Rodentia; Octodontidae
Source: RNAcentral